UAAAUAUAAACCCAACCCAAUUAUUUAUUUCAGAUUGGUCCAAGCUGAACCCAAUCUUUAAUUCCAAUCCAAUCAAGUCAUACAUGAAACCUAUACCAUAAUAACCAAAUCAAAGUCCAAACCUAACCUCAAUCAUGCACAACCUAAUCCAACAACUUCUCUAUACCAAGUCUUUGGAAACAAACUAUUUCAACCCGAUUCUCUAGCAUAUAAAACUAGAGCCAAACCACAACCAUAUUCAAACUCGAUCAAAUUCUAAAUAUAUGCUUAGAAUUGAUCAAAUCGUUUUAAUCGAUUGGACUCUAAUACAUAUACUUAGAGUUCAUAUGUAUAAUUAGAGUUUAAUUUAAAUCAAUUUUGGCUAAUCCUAAUAC
This 374-nucleotide long non-coding RNA is filed under the name Ananas comosus (pineapple). RNAcentral's name for it is "long non-coding RNA (ACOM_LNC022448)". Lineage: Eukaryota; Viridiplantae; Streptophyta; Magnoliopsida; Poales; Bromeliaceae. The record is from RNAcentral.